GAUAGGAUGAGGGGAGAGAGGAUGCAGGUCAUUAACCCAGACGAGGCCGUGUUGGUGGUAGGAGAGGAGGCCGUGCCGGUGGGAGAGGAGGUCGAGAUGGUGGACGAUUAGUUGAUGAGCCGGUUGAUGAUGUUGAUCAUGCUGAUGAGCAUGAGGACACUGCGGUUUAGGAGGGGAACUCAUGUAGAUACAAGCGAGGAUUGUGUAGUACUGCUAUUGCCGAGCAAUCUACUGCCACUAUAGCCGAGCCAUCUAUUGCUGCUGCUGCCGGGUCUUCUAUUGCUGCUAGCGACGAGGCUGAGUUCAUUAGACGUGAGGAUUGGCCUUCCUGCUCUCUAGGCCUCACUCCUACUCCAUAGCCAGUUGCUGAGCAACAGACUUUUCAUAUUCCGGAUACCAAUAUACAACAGCCUCCUCCUAUUAUACAGCAUCAUCACCGGACUCGACUUCAGCAUGAUAUAUCAGAGAUCUCCUCUUUUGACUUGGGCUUCUCUUUACAGUCUUCUCAACCUGAUACACAGACUAGUUCAGAUAGAGCUGAUAUGUCUGGUAGAUAUGAAAUAUAUGUGCGCCGGUUAAAAAGGCAGCGACAGGCUCCCGAUUGUGGUAUUGGUGGACAUAAAUGAGGGUAUGUAUUGAAUCACUAGGCUUUUCUGUUUGAGUUGUGUAGUUAAGUUUCUUGCUUGUGUAGUGUUUAUAUAAACCAAUCUAAUUAUUUCAUAUUCAUUAUCGUUUGACAGGGUAUCAGCUAUUGGAGCUAUAGAGCUGGAGUUUUAUUAGUUUUUAUUGUAUAUUGUAGGCUUUUCAUAACAUCUGUAGGGAUAGGACCCUGAACUUGUAAAUUCUCAUUGCGCGGAUCUUGUAAUUAUUUUAAUUUCGUGUCUAUAUUUAUGUUUUAGUACAACGUUAGAGUUUAAAUUAUUAAAUUGACUGACAGUUAGGGUUAAGAUUAAGGCCCUAAACCCUAGAGCCUAAACCUUAAUAAUU
This 987-nucleotide long non-coding RNA is filed under the name Daucus carota (carrot). RNAcentral's name for it is "long non-coding RNA (DCAR_LNC005435)". The record is from RNAcentral. Lineage: Eukaryota; Viridiplantae; Streptophyta; Magnoliopsida; Apiales; Apiaceae.